GUCCGCUGCUCUUCUCUCUCUUCCUUUAUCUCUUUAAAAUAUAUUUAUAGCUGGCUUAUAGCCUACUAUAGGUACAAUAGCAGACUAUUAGCCAGCUAUAAAGAAAUUUUAAUGAGAUAAAAGAUGAGAGAGAAGAGCAGCGA
This 143-nucleotide unclassified non-coding RNA is filed under the name Oryza sativa (Asian cultivated rice). Its description in RNAcentral is "partial microRNA MIR494b-as precursor". Lineage: Eukaryota; Viridiplantae; Streptophyta; Magnoliopsida; Poales; Poaceae. The record is from RNAcentral.